Molecule: ribosomal RNA, 484 nt
Filed under: uncultured bacterium
Lineage: Bacteria
Description: partial 16S ribosomal RNA
Rfam family: Bacterial small subunit ribosomal RNA
Source: RNAcentral
AUUGAACGCUGGCGGCAGGCCUAACACAUGCAAGUCGAGCGGAUGAAGGGAGCUUGCUCCUGGAUUCAGCGGCGGACGGGUGAGUAAUGCCUAGGAAUCUGCCUGGGAGUGGGGGAUAACGUCCGGAAACGGGCGCUAAUACCGCAUACGUCCUGAGGGAGAAAGUGGGGGAUCUUCGGACCUCACGCUAUCAGAUGAGCCUAGGUCGGAUUAGCUAGUUGGUGGGGUAAAGGCCUACCAAGGCGACGAUCCGUAACUGGUCUGAGAGGAUGAUCAGUCACACUGGAACUGGGACACGGUCCAGACUCCUACGGGAGGCAGCAGUGGGGAAUAUUGGACAAUGGGCGAAAGCCUGAUCCAGCCAUGCCGCGUGUGUGAAGAAGGUCUUCGGAUUGUAAAGCACUUUAAGUUGGGAGGAAGGGCAGUAAGUUAAUACCUUGCUGUUUUGACGUUACCAACAGAAUAAGCACCGGCUAACUUCGUG